Molecule: long non-coding RNA, 711 nt
Filed under: Zostera marina
Lineage: Eukaryota; Viridiplantae; Streptophyta; Magnoliopsida; Alismatales; Zosteraceae
Description: long non-coding RNA (ZMAR_LNC001592)
Source: RNAcentral
AGAUUUUUUAACAGAAAUUUUCGUAACGGACACCACGACGGUACCGUGGUCGGAAUUGCAGUAGUUCAUCCAUGUGAACGACACUGUAUUAUGGUCAGGAUCGUCUGAUUGCAUCGAACCACAUCGAAUAGACGUACCGCACAGUGAUCACCGUUAUGAAAAUAGGUUCGAUUUUUUUAUUCAUUUUAGACCAUAACUAAAUAUCAGAUAUGCUUAAUUUCAGUUGAACCUUAUAAGUUUACGAAAAUGUUUAAUAGAAAUUACACUUUUCUAAUGGAUUGAGUCUUCUUUUAUGAGCUUAACCCGACCCGGCUAACCCGGACGGGUCAGGCACGUCAGGGCAAAACGGAUCCGCCCGUCAUAUUGAGCCAAAUGGACAUGUUAGUCCUGGUCCGAGGUGGGUCUGGUCUGAUGGAACAGAGGUAUCAUUAUUUAUCAAGGUACAUCUACCAACCAUUGUCUUUUUUUGCAAUAUUUGUUUAUCUCUCUUUCCUUUUCUAUUGCUAUUUAUGUUUUUUUGACUAAAUUAAAAAUCGUUUCAUAUUUACUUCAUAAUUCAACAUUAUCAUUCUUACAAUUACGAAUUUCCAAACCUUCUUCAUUUCCUGUUGCUUACAACCUAAUUCGUUUUUAAUUUUUUUCCCAAUCAUCUAUCCUUUUUUUAUACUUUCCGAACUUUGUUUGUGUCUUCAUUCAGAUAAUUUUUCAAGU